RNAcentral lists this ribosomal RNA (495 nucleotides) under Pleurocordyceps nipponica. Its description in RNAcentral is "SSU rRNA". It matches the Rfam family "Eukaryotic small subunit ribosomal RNA", at positions 65 to 566 of the family's 1831-position model. The record is from RNAcentral. Lineage: Eukaryota; Fungi; Ascomycota; Sordariomycetes; Hypocreales; Polycephalomycetaceae.
AUAGGCAUUAUACGGCGAAACUGCGAAUGGCUCAUUAUAUAAGUUAUCGUUUAUUUGAUAGCACAUUACUACUUGGAUAACCGUGGUAAUUCUAGAGCUAAUACAUGCUAAAAAUCCCGACUUCGGAAGGGAUGUAUUUAUUAGAUUAAAAACCAAUGCCCUCUGGGCUCUCUGGUGAAUCAUGAUAACUGCUCGAAUCGCAGGGCCUCGUGCCGGCGAUGGUUCAUUCAAAUUUCUUCCCUAUCAACUUUCGAUGUUUGGGUAUUGGCCAAACAUGGUUACAACGGGUAACGGAGGGUUAGGGCUCGACCCCGGAGAAGGAGCCUGAGAGACGGCUACUACAUCCAAGGAAGGCAGCAGGCGCGCAAAUUACCCAAUCCCGACACGGGGAGGUAGUGACAAUAAAUACUGAUACAGGGCUCUUUCGGGUCUUGUAAUUGGAAUGAGUACAAUUUAAAUCCCUUAACGAGGAACAAUUGGAGGGCAAGUCUGGUG